Molecule: small nucleolar RNA, 79 nt
Filed under: Ascoidea rubescens DSM 1968
Lineage: Eukaryota; Fungi; Ascomycota; Saccharomycetes; Ascoideales; Ascoideaceae
Description: Small nucleolar RNA snR79
Rfam family: Small nucleolar RNA snR79
Source: Rfam by way of RNAcentral
UCCAAUGAUGACACUUUUUAUUCUUGCUUAGAUUCGUCGGUGAAAGCUGAUUUCUCAUAGACUACAACGGUAUCUGAGC